AUUGAACGCUGGCGACAUGCCUUACACAUGCAAGUCGAACGGCAGCACGGGUGCUUGCACCUGGUGGCGAGUGGCGAACGGGUGAGUAAUACAUCGGAACAUGUCCUGUAGUGGGGGAUAGCCCGGCGAAAACCGGAUUAAUACCGCAUACGAUCUACGGAUGAAAGCGGGGGACCUUCGGGCCUCGCGCUAUAGGGUUGGCCGAUGGCUGAUUAGCUAGUUGGUGGGGUAAAGGCCUACCAAGGCGACGAUCAGUAGCUGGUCUGAGAGGACGACCAGUCACACUGGGACUGAGACACGGCCCAGACUCCUACGGGAGGCAGCAGUGGGGAAUUUUGGACAAUGGGCGAAAGCCUGAUCCAGCAAUGCCGCGUGUGUGAAGAAGGCCUUCGGGUUGUAAAGCACUUUUGUCCGGAAAGAAAUCCUUGGCCCUAAUACGGUCGGGGGAUGACGGUACCGGAAGAAUAAGCACCGGCUAACUACGUG
RNAcentral lists this ribosomal RNA (486 nucleotides) under uncultured bacterium. RNAcentral's name for it is "partial 16S ribosomal RNA". It matches the Rfam family "Bacterial small subunit ribosomal RNA", at positions 30 to 507 of the family's 1533-position model. The record is from RNAcentral.